AUGAGCUUCCUCGCCGGGCGCCUCGCCGCCCAGGAAGGCGCCUACUUCCUCCAGGAGUCCAAGCUCGCUGCCGGCAGCCUCGCGGCGAAGCUCCCCGCGUCCGCUCGCGGGCCCAGGCCGGCGUCCCCGCCUCCUUCGCCCGACGUGCUCCCGGAGAUCCUCCGCCACUCCGUGCCCAUCAGGCCGACGCCGCCUCCGGCCGACCCCACUCUCUACGGCUCCACCCGCUGGGCCCUCCCACAGGGCGGCGCCGAGGCUGCCGGCGUGUCCCCCGACGUGAUGAACCCGCUCCGCUCGUACGUCGCGCUGCCGCAGGCCACCUUCGGCCCCAAAAGAUGGGAACUUCCAACUGAGCAGCCUUACUACUCGGCGGCAACCGCCAAUGAGCGGCGACGUGAUAUGCAUCCUCCUCCCAUGGACCCUGAGAAGUUGAAGGCUGUAAUUGAUGGAUACUCACAGGUUGGAAAGGCAUUUCUUGCUGGGACUGUUUUGGUGUUUGGAGGAGCAACAGCUGUGCUGUUGUACACGGCAAAUAAGCUACAGUUGCAUUCAGUAGACGACGUCAAAGCUAAAGGAAAAGACGCAGUGCAACCACAUGCCGAUAUGAUCAAAGAACAAAUAGCUCCACUAAGGAAAUGGGCUGAAGACACGUCCCGAAAAUGGCAUUACGAAGCCGACAGAGAGUCAGGGGAGAAGUCUGUCCUUGUUAGAGAGCUUUCAAGAGCACUCGGUGCUAAGACGCGUCCGACGGAUUGA
This 756-nucleotide ribosomal RNA is filed under the name Triticum aestivum (bread wheat). RNAcentral's name for it is "partial small subunit ribosomal RNA". Lineage: Eukaryota; Viridiplantae; Streptophyta; Magnoliopsida; Poales; Poaceae. The record is from RNAcentral.